GACGAACGCUGGCGGCGUGCCUAACACAUGCAAGUCGAACGGAAAGGCCCUGCUUGCUGGGUACUCGAGUGGCGAACGGGUGAGUAACACGUGGGUGAGCUGCCCUGCACUUCGGGAUAAGCUUGGGAAACUGGGUCGAAUACCGGAUAGGACCGCACCGCAGUGUGUGUGGUGGAAAGUUUUUUCGGUGUAGGAUGUGCUCGCGGCCUAUCAGCUUGUUGGUGGGGUAAUGGCCUACCAAGGCGGCGACGGGUAGCCGGCCUAAGAGAGUGUACGGCCACAUUAGAACUGAGAUACAGCCCGGACUCCUGCAGGAGGCAGCAGGGGGGAAUGUUGGACAAUGGGCGCAAGCCUGAUGCAGCAAGGCCGCGUGGGGGAUGAAGGCCUUCGGGUUGUAAGCACCUUUCGCUAGGGACGAAGCUUUGUUGUGACGGUACCUAGAUAAGAAGCACCGGCUAACUACGUG
Molecule: ribosomal RNA, 466 nt
Filed under: uncultured bacterium
Lineage: Bacteria
Description: partial 16S ribosomal RNA
Rfam family: Bacterial small subunit ribosomal RNA
Source: RNAcentral